RNAcentral lists this long non-coding RNA (1055 nucleotides) under Panax ginseng (ginseng). RNAcentral's name for it is "long non-coding RNA (PGIN_LNC003974)". Lineage: Eukaryota; Viridiplantae; Streptophyta; Magnoliopsida; Apiales; Araliaceae. The record is from RNAcentral.
UUGUUUUUUCAUCCAUUUCUUCCUUAUUAUGAAAAGUUUCUCAAUUUCAGCCAUGAUUCCAUAAAAAAUUUCUAUAAAUCAUAAAUUACAUGAAGCACCAAGAUGGAGCAAUGGGCAACAAUCCAAAUAGACAUAAUAAAUUACAUGAAGCAUAUCUGCCAAUGGGCUGGCAACAAUCCAAAUAGACGGUGCUCAACAAAUCAUCAAUCCAUCCAUCAAAAAUCCAAAAAACCAAAUAGAGUAUAGACAUACCACAAACAAAUUAGUGAUGCAAGCAAAUUGCAAUUUUGCACGCCGACAGAAGAAGUGACCCUAUUGCAAGCCGACAGAAGAGACAAACAAAUUGUAAGCAGGCAGAAGAAGAGACACAAACAAAUUACCAUAACCAAAGAGAUCCUAUUUAUUAUCGAACAAAUUCAGAACCCUCAAAUCACAAACCCAAAUUGUUUUGCUCAAACCCAUGAAGAAAAAAUAAAAAAUACACAGAUCCAUUACGCUAAUGAAGAUAUUAAUGGAGGAGAAGAAGAUGGAGAGUCAUAACAGUUAAACCCCUUCUCCACGACUCUUUUUCGAUGCUUCUAACGAAUUUCUCGAUCUGUCGAUGAAGAGUGGAGACGAGAAUACGAGACCAGGCCGCCAGGGGGUCGAUUGUCGAUGACGACGAUGAGCAGGCGAGCGCCGAGCAGUGGUGGAGAUCUGGAGAUGAGAUGGAGACUUGGAGUUGGAGAUGGAGAGAGCGAUGAGCAGCAGACGAGAGAGUGAGAGACGGUAAACGUAAAUCUGAGAUUUGGAAAUUAGGAAGGAAAUAAAAAGACUGAAGAGAAGACAGAUAGUGAAAAUAAGUAAGUAAAUAAAAUUAAUAAAAUAUUAAGUAACCGGUAUAACCGUUCUGUUCCGGUCCGGUUUAUACCGAUCAAAAAAAUAAUGUCCCGAAACCGGAUAUAUACCGAACCGGUGGAUUCAGACCGAUCCGGUUCAUUCAAAAACCGAAAAAAUCGGUUUAUUUGCCCACCCCUACUCAUUCUUGCUUAAAAUAAAUAUUUUUAACUAAGCCG